Molecule: ribosomal RNA, 1190 nt
Filed under: Salmonella enterica subsp. enterica
Lineage: Bacteria; Pseudomonadati; Pseudomonadota; Gammaproteobacteria; Enterobacterales; Enterobacteriaceae
Description: bacterial LSU rRNA
Rfam family: Bacterial large subunit ribosomal RNA
Source: RNAcentral
GGGGUGUGACUGCGUACCUUUUGUAUAAUGGGUCAGCGACUUAUAUUCUGUAGCAAGGUUAACCGAAUAGGGGAGCCGGAGGGAAACCGAGUCUUAACCGGGCGUUAAGUUGCAGGGUAUAGACCCGAAACCCGGUGAUCUAGCCAUGGGCAGGUUGAAGGUUGGGUAACACUAACUGGAGGACCGAACCGACUAAUGUUGAAAAAUUAGCGGAUGACCUGUGGCUGGGGGUGAAAGGCCAAUCAAACCGGGAGAUAGCUGGUUCUCCCCGAAAGCUAUUUAGGUAGCGCCUCGUGAAUUCAUCUCCGGGGGUAGAGCACUGUUUCGGCUAGGGGGCCAUCCCGGCUUACCAACCCGAUGCAAACUGCGAAUACCGGAGAAUGUUAUCACGGGAGACACACGGCGGGUGCUAACGUCCGUCGUGAAGAGGGAAACAACCCAGACCGCCAGCUAAGGUCCCAAAGUCAUGGUUAAGUGGGAAACGAUGUGGGAAGGCCCAGACAGCCAGGAUGUUGGCUUAGAAGCAGCCAUCAUUUAAAGAAAGCGUAAUAGCUCACUGGUCGAGUCGGCCUGCGCGGAAGAUGUAACGGGGCUAAACCAUGCACCGAAGCUGCGGCAGCGACACUGAUGUGUUGUUGGGUAGGGGAGCGUUCUGUAAGCCUGUGAAGGUGGCCUGUGAGGGUUGCUGGAGGUAUCAGAAGUGCGAAUGCUGACAUAAGUAACGAUAAAGCGGGUGAAAAGCCCGCUCGCCGGAAGACCAAGGGUUCCUGUCCAACGUUAAUCGGGGCAGGGUGAGUCGACCCCUAAGGCGAGGCCGAAAGGCGUAGUCGAUGGGAAACGGGUUAAUAUUCCCGUACUUGGUGUUACUGCGAAGGGGGGACGGAGAAGGCUAUGUUGGCCGGGCGACGGUUGUCCCGGUUUAAGCGUGUAGGUGUGUGUUCCAGGUAAAUCCGGUUCACUUUAACACUGAGGCGUGACGACGAGGCACUACGGUGCUGAAGCAACAAAUGCCCUGCUUCCAGGAAAAGCCUCUAAGCAUCAGGUAACAUCAAAUCGUACCCCAAACCGACACAGGUGGUCAGGUAGAGAAUACCAAGGCGCUUGAGAGAACUCGGGUGAAGGAACUAGGCAAAAUGGUGCCGUAACUUCGGGAGAAGGCACGCUGACACGUAGGUGAAGUGAUUUACUCA